RNAcentral lists this ribosomal RNA (423 nucleotides) under uncultured bacterium. RNAcentral describes it as "bacterial SSU rRNA". It matches the Rfam family "Bacterial small subunit ribosomal RNA", at positions 355 to 794 of the family's 1533-position model. The record is from RNAcentral.
UGGAGAAUAUUGGGCAAUGGGCGAAAGCCUGACCCAGCAACGCCGCGUGAGGGAAGAAGGUUUUCGGAUCGUAAACUCCUGUCCUUGGAGACGAGUAGAAGACGGUAUCCAAGGAGGAAGCCCCGGCUAACUACGUGCCAGCAGCCGCGGUAAUACGUAGGGGCAAGCGUUGUCCGGAAUAAUUGGGCGUAAAGGGCGCGUAGGCGGCUCGGUAAGUCUGGAGUGAAAGUCCUGCUUUUAAGGUGGGAAUUGCUUUGGAUACUGUCGGGCUUGAGUGCAGGAGAGGUUAGUGGAAUUCCCAGUGUAGCGGUGAAAUGCGUAGAGAUUGGGAGGAACACCAGUGGCGAAGGCGACUAACUGGACUGUAACUGACGCUGAGGCGCGAAAGUGUGGGGAGCAAACAGGAUUAGAUACCCUGGUAGU